Molecule: ribosomal RNA, 427 nt
Filed under: uncultured bacterium
Lineage: Bacteria
Description: bacterial SSU rRNA
Rfam family: Bacterial small subunit ribosomal RNA
Source: RNAcentral
CGGUAAGACAGAGGGUGCAAACGUUGCUCGGAAUUACUGGGCGUAAAGGGCGCGUAGGCGGAUUUGGAAGUCGGGUGUGAAAUCCCUGGGCUCAACCUAGGAACUGCAUUCGAAACUCCAAGUCUAGAGUGACGGAGAGGAAAGCGGAAUUCCCGGUGUAGAGGUGAAAUUCGUAGAUAUCGGGAGGAACACCAGAGGCGAAGGCGGCUUUCUGGACGUCUACUGACGCUGANGCGCGAAAGCGUGGGGAGCAAACAGGAUUAGAUACCCUGGUAGUCCACGCCGUAAACGUUGGGCACUANGUGUCGCGACGAUGACUGUUGCGGUGCCGUANCUAACGCAUUAAGUGCCCCGCCUGGGGAGUACGGCCCCAGGCUAAACUCAAGGAAUUGACGGGGGCCCCACANCGGUGGACAUGUGNUUAUUC